Molecule: unclassified non-coding RNA, 376 nt
Filed under: soil metagenome
Description: partial contains 5.8S ribosomal RNA, internal transcribed spacer 2, and large subunit ribosomal RNA
Rfam family: 5.8S ribosomal RNA (bases 1-120)
Source: RNAcentral
GAUGAAGAACGUAGCGAAAUGCGAUAAGUAAUGUGAAUUGCAGAAUUCGGUGAAUCAUCGAAUCUUUGAACGCAUCUUGCGCUCCUUGGUAUUCUGAGGAGCAUGCCUGUUUGAGUGUCAUUAAAUUCUCAACUACACUGACUUUGAAUUGGUGUGGCUUGGAUUUGGGGGGAAAAUUGUUGUGGGCUUUUUGUAUAGUCUGCUCCCCUGAAAUUGAUUAGCGGUACCUUUGUGGAACUGUCUACAGGUGUGAUAAUUAUCUACAUCUUAGACAUCUGCUGGAAUGCUGCUCUCUAAACCUUACUUGUAUUGACAAUCUUGACCUCAAAUCAGGUAGGACUACCCGCUGAACUUAAGCAUAUCAAUAAGCGGAGGA